AGUAGGGUCAGCUAAUAAAGCUAUCGGGCCCAUACCCCGAAAAUGACGGUUAACCCCGCCCCCCACUA
This 68-nucleotide transfer RNA is filed under the name Phodilus badius (oriental bay-owl). Its description in RNAcentral is "tRNA-Met". The record is from RNAcentral. Lineage: Eukaryota; Metazoa; Chordata; Aves; Strigiformes; Tytonidae.